Molecule: ribosomal RNA, 301 nt
Filed under: uncultured bacterium
Lineage: Bacteria
Description: partial 16S ribosomal RNA
Rfam family: Bacterial small subunit ribosomal RNA
Source: RNAcentral
CAGUCGCCGCGGUAAUACGGAGGGUGCAAGCGUUAAUCGGAAUUACUGGGCGUAAAGCGCACGCAGGCGGUUUGUUAAGUCAGAUGUGAAAUCCCCGAGCUUAACCUGGGAACUGCAUUUGAAACUGGCAAGCUAGAGUCUUGUAGAGGGGGGUAGAAUUCCAGGUGUAGCGGUGAAAUGCGUAGAGAUCUGGAGGAAUACCGGUGGCGAAGGCGGCCCCCUGGACAAAGACUGACGCUCAGGUGCGAAAGCGUGGGGAGCAAACAGGAUUAGAUACCCGCGUAGUCCCUGUCUCUUAUAA